Danio rerio (zebrafish) is the source of this 71-nucleotide non-coding RNA. Lineage: Eukaryota; Metazoa; Chordata; Actinopteri; Cypriniformes; Danionidae. The record is from Rfam.
GCAUUGGUGGUUCAGUGGUAGAAUUCUUGCCCGUCAUGCUGGAGACCCCGGUCCGAUUCCCGGCCAAUGCA